CACGUAGGGCGCGAGCGUUGUCCGGAAUUAUUGGGCGUAAAGAGCUCGUAGGCGGUCUGUUGCGUCGGCUGUGAAAACCCGGGGCUCAACUCCGGGCCUGCAGCCGAUACGGGCAGACUAGAGUUCGGCAGGGGAGACUGGAAUUCCUGGUGUAGCGGUGAAAUGCGCAGAUAUCAGGAGGAACACCGGUGGCGAAGGCGGGUCUCUGGGCCGAUACUGACGCUGAGGAGCGAAAGCGUGGGGAGCGAACAGG
Molecule: ribosomal RNA, 253 nt
Filed under: uncultured bacterium
Lineage: Bacteria
Description: partial 16S ribosomal RNA
Rfam family: Bacterial small subunit ribosomal RNA
Source: RNAcentral